UGUAUCAAGAGUUGUAAAUUAAAAUUCUAUACUACAAUUUGUCUGAAAGUUAACACUUCUUUUGUGUGUACAGGCAUAAUAAAAUCUUUUGUACAAUUUGGGAAUCAAAUGUUGAUUCUUAUCUCUCUGAUUUCAAAAAGAGUGAAGGAACCAUUCCGAUUGUUAUUGUUCAAAUUUGCAAGCCUAAUUUAUUUAGAGGUUUCAUUUCUCUUACAUUUGUCUGUUUGUUGUUUGUUUUGCUUCUUUGUUUAUCUGACAUAAACUGUAUUCCUCAAAUGUGUUUUUAUGUAUUAGGUGAAAUGAGAAUAUCUACACACUUUCAAGCAUCAAAGGUUCUAAUUAAUCCAAAAUUAGAUGAAGUUACUGAUUUUAGGAAAAGAAUUGAAGGUGAUGAGAGAUUUAUUCCCAAUGGUUCUUUGGGUCCAGUUGGACCAAACAUUAGCAGUGAGUUUGAAAAGAAAAUCUUACAGUGAAGUCUCUUGAGGAUUUAGAAUGUCUAGAGUUCAUUUCUGCCAUUUAUUCACAGGAUGGUUUAUAUUGGGUUUUUGGAAAGAUUGUAUCUGUGGAAUCACAUUAUGAUACAUGGUAUUACAUGUCAUGUAAGACCUGUUUUAAGAAGGUUGAGGCAGAGGAUAACAAGUUUAACUGUUCAGUAUGUAAGAGCACUUAUUCCCAUGCUUAUAGAAGGUAUAAAUUUAUUGUCAAUAUUGUUGAUGAUACAAGCAACACUUCACUUUUAGUGUGGGAUAGGGAGGGGAUCCAACUGAUAGGAAAAAAGGUUUAUGAAUUUGUAGAGACUGAUAAUCAGGUUUUGCCAAUGGAGGACAUUGCUAAAGAAAUUGAAAAGAAGCUGGUGGGGCAGAGUGUGUUGUUCAAGCUCCAAUUCAGAAAUCAGCUGGAGUAUUACAAAUCUUAUCCACACACUGUGAACAAAGUGUGCAAUAUUCCUCAUGUUGUUGAGAAAAGCUUGGUUCGCAAGAAGUUAGGAAAGAAUUAAAGUUAUCUGAUCUCAUCUUUGGUUCUGAUCUUCGUGAGGUUUAUCAGAAAAGUAUUGUUACUCCAGAUUUGUCAAGUGUAACAAUUGAGAUUAAUCAUGAAUUCAACAUUGAAGGGUCUGUUAAGAGAUGCUUGGAGGCUGAUUUUAAUUGCUGUGAUGAUAUUGUUGGCUCUCAGAAGAACAAGAAUAAAAAAGUCAGCAAGGAGUAUUAGUUUUUGAGUCAUUUUAGGUGUUUUUGUGCCAUGGAUUCCUACAUUUUGAUUAAAUGGAAGAGUGGAAUGCUCAUAUUAUCUUUUUUGGAUGUUAGUUUUGUUGGCAGAACAUUGUAUGAGCAUAUUUUGGUCUACUCGCUUUAGCUUAAUGAUCUUUGUUCAGCUUUAUGUAAUCCAUUAAUUCCAAGGUUACUUUUUAUUUCA
This is an RNA transcript of Salvia splendens (bonfire salvia), 1413 nucleotides long. RefSeq lists it as uncharacterized. The transcript has 6 exons. NCBI's taxonomy places the organism in Eukaryota, Viridiplantae, Streptophyta, Magnoliopsida, Lamiales, Lamiaceae. The record is from RefSeq and is a predicted model, not a curated record.